This 179-nucleotide unclassified non-coding RNA is filed under the name soil metagenome. RNAcentral describes it as "partial internal transcribed spacer 1". The record is from RNAcentral.
CCGAGUUUACAACUCCCAAACCCAAUGUGAACAUACCUCAAGUUGCUUCGGCGGGAACGCCCCGGCGCGCCCCCCGACCUCCGGGUCGGGGAGCCUAGCCCGGACCCAGGCGCCCGCCGGAGGUACCCAAACUCUUGUCUUCAGUAUAUUCUUCUGAGUGGCAAACGCAAAAUAAAUCA